RNAcentral lists this transfer RNA (74 nucleotides) under Acidobacteriota bacterium. Its description in RNAcentral is "tRNA-Ile". It matches the Rfam family "tRNA". Rfam says of the family: Transfer RNA (tRNA) molecules are approximately 80 nucleotides in length. Lineage: Bacteria; Pseudomonadati; Acidobacteriota. The record is from RNAcentral. RNAcentral also lists the same sequence under 1 other name.
GGCGGAGUAGCUCAGGCGGGCAGAGCAGCGGUCUCAUAAACCGCAGGGCGCGGGUUCAAAUCCCGCCUCCGCGA